Alosa alosa (allis shad) is the source of this 2388-nucleotide RNA transcript. It is a transcript of the gene named E3 ubiquitin-protein ligase RNF182, with no coding region annotated. Lineage: Eukaryota; Metazoa; Chordata; Actinopteri; Clupeiformes; Clupeidae. The transcript has 3 exons. The record is from RefSeq and is a predicted model, not a curated record.
CAGUGCAGGUUGUGAUGCUCCAGCACUACCGCAUUGAGGGGGAUGGAGGGAUAGCAGUUCCAUUCGGGCAGAUGGGACCUCAAGACCGCCAGUGACUCACCGACAGCAAGCGACAGAACGGGAUAAAAAUAAUGGAGCGAUAAGGUGCAGUUACUUCGGACCUUGACAAAAGACACAAGCAUAAGGAAGAGUGUCGACCUACAUACGAGAACUAAGGAGAGGAUUAAUCCCACUCAUCCUGAAGGUCUUGGGGUCACAACUCAACCGGACAUCUGAAUAUGAGCUGGACUUUUUUAAGAUUGAACACAGGUUUCAUUUUAACAUGAGAUAUGUUGCUUCUACAGUCUCUUUUGCUGCCCUCAGAUGUCUAUCUAUGCCCAGCGUGGACCUUGGCUGAGAUGCUUAGUCGGUUGACUAUCGGCUUUUAGCCUUUUCACUGAGAGGACGCUUUCUGGUGUCGCAGGUGUGAGACUGUACCUUUAGUGCGUGACGGGGAGUGUUGCUGAUUAGCCUUUGUGGGCCAUUCACACUACACUCCCCUCAAACUCCUGAAGUUCUCCUCCACCAAUGCUCCUCCCAGUGAUUAGGUUGUCCAUCUCUGCUGGGCAGCGGGGAUAUUACGCCAGAGAGGGUAUGUCUACAGGGGGUCCGGCUGCAGUGUUGACAUCCUUUGGUCUGCUAUCCAUGGUGUCUGUCCAUCACAACAGCUGACAGCACAGUUAGGCUACCAGUCUGCUUCGGCCUCACCUUCGAUAUCCACCUGGCUACAGACAACCGCACAUCCACACCAUGGUCUUCUAUGCAUGAUGCCUGUCCAUCACAAUGCAGUGUGGCUUCCAGUCUGCUUUCGACUCUCCACUGUCCUGCAGAGAAGUGAAUCCCAUCCACCAAAAGACUACUAUGCUGGAAAGUUCAACAUCAACAAGAGGUGACAGAACAGGCCUGGAUUUAAUCAAAGUGGCCAUGAUAAAUGCUAGAUCUCUAGCAAAUAACAUAUUUAUUCUGAAUGAUUUGUUCACCUCACCUAAACUUGAUAUGUUGUUUAUUAUGGCGACUUGGCUGAAUGUUGUUGAGUCUUGUUCUCUUAGCUCUUGCCACCACAUUGCACUUAGGCUACUUCAACUCCCCAAGGACAACUGGGUGAGGAGGGGGAGGAGUGCAAACUAUUUUCAAGAAAAGUUUUAAUUGUAUGCAAUUGUCAUCGAUGUUCAAUUCCAGUUUUAAACUGAAUGUUUGUGUUUGAUCGAGCUCACCCAUUGUUGUUUGCUGUGAUCUGCCAACCACCAAAAUAUAACAUACUUCAUUAUUGACUUUUCUGAUUUUUUAGCUGGAAUUAUGCCAAAAUAUGACAGGGUUUUAAUUGUAGGAGAGUUUAACAUGCUUGCUGUCCUUCUAAGCUGAUGGUUUUAAGAUGUUUGACACUAAUAGGAGAGUUUAAAGUGUAUUGACUUUUUUAAUGUUGUACAAUCUGUAGCGGGUGAAGGUCUUACACAUAAGCAUGGACAAACAUUAGAUUUUCUAUUAUCAUGUGGUCCUGAUAUACUUAAGGAUUGAUGUGUGCAAUGCAGUUUUCUCUUAUCACAUGUCUGUUUUAUUUGAGAUUGCCCUCCCUUGUUGUGUGAAACCAUGUGCUUUAACUUGUCAUUGACACACAUUUAAGCAGUCCUCUGCUACCCAAUUCUCAGAUGCUUUCCAACAUGCUAUUGAGACUCAUUGCCCGCCCCUGACUGUACUGAGGAAUUAACCUCACUUCUUUAUUCAACUUCCAAAAACAUCUUGGAUGCUGAAAACCAUGAGAACUAAUUCUAAUUCUGAACUGUGAUUAAAUGACAUUACUUGGAGUUGUGUGGCUAGGCGAGAAGGCUGAACACAAGUGGAAAAAAGACAAACUGCAAGUGUCUUAUGACACAGCUGGUGUCUAUAUAUAAAGAUCAUUUAAAAAAAACUGUUAUAAACCUCAUGUACUUUUUAGUUUUAUUAGGCCUAACUCUUUUAACCCCUUAAGACUGAAAUCCUAAUAUUAGGAAUAAUGCUGCUUAGAUAGAUAGCUUUUUGAGUCCAUAUGUCAUGAACACAUCUCCCCAUUAACCUCACAUCACUGGCUUCCUGUACAUUAUAGGAUUAACUUCAAGAUAUUUCUGUUAAUUUAUAAAUGUUUGGAAGGUCAAGACACCACCUAUCUCUUAGACCUGUUAAGGUAUACCCCAGCAAGACCAAUCAGAUUCUCUAAUCAAUUUAUUUUGACUGUCCCCAAAACCAAAAUAUUGACAUUGUGCUUUUUCAGCUUCUCCAAACUUUGGAAUAAUCUGCCCCUUCAGAUUGGCCCACUUUGACCAAUCUUAAAGGAAUUAUCCGGAGUAAAAUGCACUUUAGAUCAAUUUACGGAUG